UCCUGGGAAAGCUCAGUUGGUAGAGCAUGAGUCUCUUAAUAUCAGAGUCAUGAGUUGGAGCCCCACGCUGGGCA
Podarcis lilfordi (Lilford's wall lizard) is the source of this 74-nucleotide non-coding RNA. Lineage: Eukaryota; Metazoa; Chordata; Lepidosauria; Squamata; Lacertidae. The record is from the annotation of a GenBank genome assembly.